Molecule: ribosomal RNA, 489 nt
Filed under: uncultured bacterium
Lineage: Bacteria
Description: bacterial SSU rRNA
Rfam family: Bacterial small subunit ribosomal RNA
Source: RNAcentral
GAUUAUGGCUCAGAACGAACGCUGGUGGCGUGUCUAUACAUGCAAGUCGAGCGAGGCAGCAAUGCCGAGCGGCGAACGGGUGAGUAACGCGUAAGCAAUCUGCCCCAUAUCAGGAAAUACCCGCGCCAACGCGCGGUUAAUGUCCAGGAGAGUGGCCCCCUGCAUGGGGGGUUGACUAGAGAUUUAUCGGUAUGGGAUGAGCUUGCGUCCGAUUAGCUAGUGGCGGGGCAACGGCCCACCAAGGCGACGAUCGGUAGCCGGCCUGAGAGGGUGAUCGGCCACAUUGGGACUGAGAUACGGCCCAGACUCCUACGGGAGGCAGCAGUAGGGAAUAUUGCACAAUGGGGGAAACCCUGAUGCAGCAACGCCACGUGUGGGAAGAAGCAUUUCGGUGUGUAAACCACUGUCAUGAGGGAAUAAGGCCCGCCUUCGGGCGGGAUUGAAUGUACCUUGAGAGGAAGCACCGGCAAACUUCGUGCCAGCCGCCGC